AAAAACCUUGCCAAUAAUAUGGGACAGAGUUUGAAUGCCGGCAACGCAGCCUCUCUCCCUGGCAAAUGUGGCGUCAACAUCCCUUACAAGAUCAGCACCUCCACCAACUGCGCCACGUAUGUUAAACUCACCACUCACUCCAUAUGCUUUAUUUUAAUUUCCUCACACAUUUCAUUCAAAAUCUCUUAGAGAGAAAUGUUAAGACUCUUUGACACACUCUUAUGAUCGAACACACUCUUUUUUAUUUUAUGAAUUUUAACAAAUUAGAUGGUGUAUAUUCAAAGGAAUGUGUUAGAAAAUAUUUUUUUUAACACUUAUAUUUCACUAAAUACUUAAAAGAGAAAUGUUAGUUAUACUCACUUUAAGGUUGAGUCUAAUCAAAUGAAUUAAUCUUUUGUAAUGUGAUGAACCAGAAUUUCACUUUUCACUUAAAGAAAUAUUUAUAGUUAGUUAUGGUUUGAUUGUGUUUAAAUUGAAAAAAGGGGGAGAAAUUUUUUUAAAAAAAUUUACACUUUUUUUUUAUUUUAAUUUAAAUAUUUAUUUUAAAUUUUAUUUUAUUCUUUUUUCUUUCACUUAACUAAAUCAUACCUUUCUUUUCAUGUCUUGAAAAUGAUUACUAUAUAAUAAAAUAAAAUAGAGAAAUAGUAUUUUUCCUUUAGUUACUUGAAAGAAAAACAAAACUUUUUAUCAUUUAUUUAUGAAAAUUUGUCGUAUAUGAUAUACAAACAUUCCCAUAAACAAGAGAUAGAAAAAAAAAAAACAGAUAUCUUUUACCUUUUUAAGGAUAAGGACCACAAAUAGUAUAUAUUCAUAAAUGAUAUAGCAGUUUAUUUUCGACAAACUAAAAAUGAACAUUGUGUUAUUUGAAAGAACUAAAAAUAUAUUUGAUCAUAUUUUUAAUUAUGACUUAAAAUUUAUUUAAAAUCACGAAAAUAAUUAGUUUUUUUAAUUACUUAAAGAGUUUCAUUUAAAAUUUUACAUUAAAAAGUAUUUUUAAGAGAAAAGGAUAAAAAUAGGUUAUUAACUUUAGUCAUACUUAAAAUGGUAUUCAGAUCGAUGUUUUAGAACUAGUGUCACAAGUUUGUUUAUUUUUUUAUGCAUUUCCUUUUGUGACUUUAUUUUUCUUGAAAUUUCGUGGUUAUUAAUUUGAGCUAAUUUAUAUAAUGGUUUGUGCAAUAUUGCAGCAUCAAGUUCUGAAGGGCAAUUUUUCAGUCGCAGAAUUCUAUAUAUGAUAUAGUAGUGCUGUAGAAUUUAACUAUUGUGUAAAAUAAAGGGAGGGCAAUGAGGGAUCCACCAGUGCGAGUCUCUUCUUGGUAUUGCCGUGUCCCUUAGUUGUUUCAGACUUUGAUCCAGUUAUUAUGUUAUUUUUACGUGUUCGCUGAAAUUUGUCUCAGUUGGUUGUUUGCAUAUGUAAUAAUGACAUAAAUAGUACUUUUUGCAGUUAUCCUGAUGGUUCUUCUCACCUUAAUUUGUGUUUGGGGUUCAAAAUCAUUUAUCAUCCGCAAAUAUUUCUCUAGAAAUAUUACAUAUAUGACCGCACAAUUCGACUCAUACAUGUUUACGAAGGAGUAUCAGUGAAUCAAAAUUUCAUGCAAUUGUUUUACAACUGAAUAGACCUAAAGGACAGAAUCACGUGAGUUUAUAAGUGAAAAGAAUAACAUAAAGGUAAAUUUAUAGAACUGUGAAAAACAAUUACACAACUUUCAGUAAGAUUUUAAAUUGGAAAAGGAAAAGGAUAAUCUAUAUUUAUAUUAUAAACACAAAUCGGACCCUCACAAAUGCCAACAUUUUACACGUGGCAUUUUGUGAAUCAUCAGAAAAAAUGAGACCAUCUUAAACUAAUUAAUUAAAGUAUUAUUAACUAAAUUGUGUAUAUUGUUGUGGCUGAAUGGCUGAUGUGUCUCAUAUAGUAAUAUUGUGGUACACCCAAUAUAAUGUACGAAAUGUCGAUUUUGUCCUUUGGUAAGUCCAAUCGAACUUGUAACUUUUGCGUUAUUAGCACAACGCUUUAAUCAAUUAAGCUAAUAAAUCAAUUAUGUUAUUAAAUAAUUAAAGUCGUUAUAUAUAAUACUAAAAAUUUUAAUGUAUAUGUAAAUUUACAUAAUAAAUUUUGUGAUAAUUAAUUUUUAUAAUAAUUAAUUUUUUUUAUAUAUAUAAAUUGUAAAUAAAAAUCAUAAGUUCAAUAAAAAUUUACAUAUGUAAAAAAAUACUAAAUUUAUUUAAUUAUCAAUUAUUGUAAUAAACAUCUAAAUACAUCAUUCAAUUAAAUAUCAUAUUUAUUUAAUUUUCAAUCACUAUAAUAAACAUCUAAAUACAUUAUUCAAUUAAAUAUCAAAUUUAUUUUAACGAUUAAUUACUGUAAUAAACAUUUAAAUACAACAUCCAGUUAAAUAUCAAAUUUGUGUAAUUAUCAAAUUUUGUAAAUAAAAUAAUGUAUAAAAAAAUUAUAAUUUUAAAAAAAUACAUAAAAAUUCAAAACAUACGAAUUGUCCAUUCGUAUGUUUUGAAUUUUUUUAAUACUCAUUUCUUUUUUUCGACGAUGAAAAACCAUCAUACUUCAUUAUAUAUCUGUAAACAACACAUAUACACCACCGACAACAAUAAACACUCAUGAAAGGAUGCUAACAGAAACAAAUUACAAUAAGGGAGUGCGAUUUUACAAAAAAAAAAAAAAAAGCACUGCAAACAUGAAAAAACUAAUAUGCUAUUUGUAAUAAAAAAAAUACCCAUAAAGGUAUUUUCGGUAUUUUGGAAAACUAUUGGGUGUACUAACAAAAAGUUGGAUGCCCCAAACAGUUCUCAAGGGAUUAACCCAAAAGAAAAAAGAAUGCAAAAGUCCAACCCAAUAGGCCAAUUCAACGUUAAAAAAAAGGGAUAAAUGGUUAAGUGCUUAGUUUUGGGUCAGAAAGAAAAUACUUUAAGAGUGUGUUUGGAUAGGGUAAUUUAACUAGGUAAUGUAUUUUUUAUAGGGAAUUAAAUUUUUUUUAUUAAAAGUAACUGUUUGGAUAUUUUAGUAAAAGAAAUUCAAAAUUUUAGAAUUUUAAAAGGGAUUUUAGUUAGUUGAAAGAAUAGAAUUUUAAAUUCUAUCUUCAAGGGAGUGAAUUUGGAAAUUCCUCUCUCCGUUGCCGUCAUGCCCCUCCUCCACCACCUUCACCUCGGCGGCAACUUCUUCUCCGGCCAGAUCCCUCCCGAGUAUGGCACCUGGCAGCACAUCUAGUCCCUCACCCUCUCCGGCAACGAGCCUGCUGGCAACGAGCUCUCCAACAGCAUGCUCUCCGGCGAAUGUUAACUAAGAGGAUUGUUUUAGGGAUUUUCUGCUCAAGAGGUUUUACUUGUUUGGAUUUGAACGGAGUUUGACGUCGGAGAGAAUGGUGAUGGAAUCAGUGACUGCGUCGCCGUGGCGGUACCGGAGAGGGAGUAAUAGUUUCUAAAGCAAGAGGCCUUCGCCAUUCAGAUCAUUGGGGAAGUCGAUGGUGUUUUCGUUCAGGUAUUAUAAAGGGAUGAAGUCACCGUUCUUCCGGAGGAGGGGGUUUUUCCCGUUGUCGGAGUGAUAACUGCUAAAUAAUUGUGAAUUUAUAGGAGUUAAAUAGUUCAAUUUUGGCUUAAAAUUAAUUAUUUAGCAGUUAUUUGAAAUUAAAAGUUGAGAAAAUUAAUUAAAUUGAAUUUCUGGUUGCAGAUGCGAAAAAUGAGGUUACAUUAAGCAAAAGUGGCAACAGAAAGGAAGAAAAAGAAGAAAUUCUGAAGCAGGCCCAGUCCAAUAGGGGUGCUAAGCGCGCAUCAGGCACUAAGCGAGCAAUUAACUGCAGGCGCUAAGCGUGGCGUUAAGCACGAAGGCAGAAACCGUUACGCGCGCUAAGUCCAGCUAGGUGCCCAGCGCGCAAUCCAACAGAAGCACAGGCCCAGCGUGCAUGGCGCGCCCAGCGCGCGAUCUGAACGCGCUAAGCGCGAGGUGUGGCACUGAGCGCGAUUACGAAGGCCCAUAAGCCCACUUCAGCAACUAUAAAUAGAGAGGCAGUCCCAAGGAAACUUCACCUCGUCUCAGAGCACUACUCUCAGUACUUCAAGUCUGAGUUUUCUUUCCUCUCUCUAUAUUCUUUGUUUUAUUAGCCCCAUUCUUCCUUUCAUCCCCAGUUGUAAGCCCUCAAUGGCCAUGAGUGGCAAAUCCCCUAACUAGGGCCUGACAGGCCUAAAAAGCCAACGAUGUACAAUGAGCUUCAAGAGUUAUCAAUGCAAAGGAAUUUAUUCCAGGUUUUUCUGUUCUAUUUCUUUUCUUGUAUUCUUGCAUUCAUUCUUAGAUCUCUUUUUGGGUUUUAUUCGCUCGGGAGAGGGUAAUUCCCAAUAAAUAUUUAAGAUUCAAUGCAUGCAUCAGUUUUAGGAGUUAUACGCUUGGGAAAGGGUAACACCUAAUAGAACAUCUUAAGAAAAGAACCCUUGGGUUAGCAUUGCUAGGCAUAGAAUGAUAACCCACUGCCCAUGCAUUUAAGCAACAUCUAGCACUUAAUCUUAAUGCAUUUUAAUUAUUGAAUCUUCGCAAAGGCAUUUGGGAGAUAGGUGGUUAAAAUAGGCUUGCCAACGUGAGGCAUCAGAGGCAAGUAAUUAACAGAUGUGGUUAGAACUAAUACCAUUUCAUUGAUAAUGAAUAUCAUAUUUACAUGCAUCGUAGGCCAAUUGGGUUUGUCUGGUCUUGGCAUCUUUAUCAAUUGCUUUUCCUUUUUACUUAUUUGUUUUAGUGAUAGCACUCUAUUCCUACUUUCAUUCCUGUUUUACUACUUUACUCUCACUUGCAAAUUGAAAAGUAUUUAAUAAGUGCAAUAAAAUCCCUGAGGACACGAUACUCGGACUUCCGAAGUUUACUACUUGUAACGAUUUGGUGCACUUGCCAAAAAGUCACAACACGGAGUCGAGCGUGAGGUAUAGCAGUGGGGGGAGCUCGUCGCAGCGUAGCAAGUCGAUAGCGAGUCCGAUGUUUUUGUAGUCGUUUGGGGUGGCAGCCGCGGCGGUGUUCUCGUCGAGCCGGCUGAGGUGCAGGGAUCCCGAGGCACUAGUGUCGUCGAAGAGGUUUAACCGGAGGAAAUUCUGUGAUUUGGUGGUAAUUAUGUUAUUGUUGAAGAGAGAGAUUGUAUCCAAAUACAAUUUUAAAAAUAAAGAAAUUUAAAUUGAACCAUUUGAAAUUCUCAGAAUUUAAAAUUCUUUAAAAUUUUAAAUUGUCUCAUCCAAACACACUGUUUGGUCUUCGUUUGGAACAAACAUCAUGUUUUCUCUUGUUUUAGUAGAUUAAUUGGCUAUAGUCUCAUGAGAUCAUUAAGCUCUGUAUGAUAUUGGAUUACUGGUGUAAUCUACAUAAUAUGCAGCAUAUCUUGUAUAAAGUUUAUGGUGCUUGAGUAAUGACCACCCAUCCCUAUGGUUCAUUCCUCAUCAUCUUCUAUAAUGUAUAUUUUGUUUAUAAAAUAAGAAUGAAGCCAACUUGAUGGGAGGAAAAAUGUAGAGAUACAAAAUCAACUACAAUAAAAACUUGUCGACGACUUUUUGAAUGACUAAAAAGUAACAAAGGCUAUAAAUAUAAAAGCUAAAACUAUAUUUAAAACAUUUCUUUUUACAAGUCAAAGAAUAUAUAAUGAAUUCAUAAUUUUUUUUUAAAAAUGACCUCUUUACGAAUAAUCUAUAAAUUAUAAACCAUUGAAAUUUAAAUGUAAUUGAAUUAAUUUAUUGUGUUUAGACUAUAAAUAUACCGAUUAGGGUUAAUAUUAUCUCGUGAUUUAGGCAAAAUUUUUAUAAAAAUAAAAACUACAAAAAAAACUUAAUAAUAACAACAAAUUAAUUUAUAUGUAUUUUUUUAAAAAAAUUUGUCAACAAAAUUAUAACGACACAAAUAUUAGUGACAAAAAUUAUCAUUACACUACUAAAAAAACUUUCUUACGACACACUUUCAACGACGGUUGCAACAAAAUUGUCUUAGUAGACUAGACGGUGGCAUUUGCAUAAAUAUAGAUGCUUCUACAACGACAGUUACUAAUAAGACCGUCUUAGUAAGAUACGAUGCGAUAUUUUUGAAAUUAAUUAGAAGUUAUUUAAGACAAUUUCGUUGUAAAACCGUCUCGGAAAGUAUGAAUACAAAGACGGUUUUUGGAAACCGCCUUUAAGUUUAAAUAUAUAUGCACACGCUCAUAACUUUCGAAUUUCGAUUUCACUCUUUCUCUUUGUUUCUCUCUCCGAAUGCCACGCUUCGCGUCCGUUGAAUCUUCAUCUCCCAUUUUAGCCAGCCCUGGAUGUUUGCAUAAAGGAAGAAGUGUUGGAGACUUCAAUUGUCACGAGAGGAGGCCAAGAAAGGGUGUCGCUUCGGUGCCCCCUUUGGGUUCAGUUAUUGAACUCAAUGAUUCCGACACGGACGAAGACGAGGACCAUGAUUUGGACAAUGCAAUCGCCAACGCAGUGAACGGUGCUUCUUCUUCGGUAGAGAGUCCGUCCAAGAAGCAAUGGACGAGCGAGGCUGAAGAAGUGGUUUUGCCAGUUGUAUUUGUCACCCCUCUCCCUCCGACGCCGGUGCCUCCUCCCACUUUAAUGUUGUCCUUGCUGGCGAUGGAAUAUGCAUCUAAUUCGGCGGCAUCGCGCACCAACGCGAGUAAGAGUUUGAGUCUGAAUAGCUCCAAGCAGUUCUGGAAGGCUGGGGAUUACGAUGGCGCUCCUCUCGGAGGCUCUACAGGUGUGUUUUGUUCUUAUGAAAUCGAACCUUUUCUGAACCUUCUUUGUUAUGCAAUGAAUAAAUUCAAUAAGUUCUUCAUUGUCAUAAAUAUUCUUGUUGCCCUUUUCUUUUUGGUUGAUUCUUUUAUUCCUUUUGUCUAGUUGUCACAAAGCUGAGGUUCUUUUCGUUAGCUUGUGUUGUUGACAAUGUAACCAUAAUCUUGUUCAUUUUUAGAGGAUGUAUUAUUUUCCCAUGUACUAAAAAUGAUUCUUCCAUCAUCCUGUUCAUUUUGUUGCUUUGACUGAAAGCACAAACUUUGAAGGAGUCAUAUAUGUAGUGCAAAUUAUAUGAAUAUUUAUUUAUUUUGUUGCAAAGUCGCAAAGAUAUGAAUAAUUUCUCUGUUGAGAGGGAUAUAAAGUUUGUGUAAAUGUAUGACUGUCCAUGUUAGAAACUAAAUAGAAAAGUUUAUUUAAAGAGGAAUUAUUUAAUUUAAUGCCCUCAACUUUUCAAAUGGUUUUUAUCCCACAAAAAUUAAAUGGUGUCAAUUUAGUAGUACAUCUAUAAUGAGAAAAGUGAAUAUAAUAAUAAGAGUGGAACUGGAAGGAGACAAGGGGUGCAAAUUUUGGUUAUGCAAAUUUUGGUUAUGGUUUUUCUACUCUCUCUCUAUGUAGCUGUAGCUGGAGCCUCUUAACUUCCAUCUGUUGCCUAUUUGAUAUAUCAUUUCCCUUGCCACUGUAUCCUGAUCUCCAUGAAUGCAAUUUCAGUUUAUGGCCUUGGAAUAUAAGCUUACAUAUCCCAGUGGGAGAGCCACAACAAUGCUAAUCAACAGUUUCCAUACAAAAACUAGAGCAGAACUUGCUGCGUAUACAUUACAAAUUAUGUUAAUUUGGUCACUCAGAAGUUUUUUAUAACUUUCAUUCUAGUACUGAUCUCGCACAUUGUUCAUUAACCUUUCUACUUAUUAAUCAAAGCAUUGGGGAAACACCUUAAACCUUUUAAUCCCUCUUAAUUUUUAUGCAUAGAUUAUUUUGUUUCUAUUUGCUUUCCUUUUAAUAUUUAUUAAUUUAUUGCCUAUGAGAAUCUUCCAGGAACCAAGUUCGGCAGCUUGGGAAGUAUCUAAGCAUAAGUUUCUGCUGGAGUUGCUUUAAGUGGUUCUUCAGUGGUAUUGGGGAUUUAUGUGGGUUUGACAAGUUCCCUAGCUUUGGUUUGACACUAUUUAAGAACACGUAAGGCUCUUGUGAUUUUGAUUUUCUUCACAUUUAGCUUAAUUCACCUCUCACUCACCUUAAAUUAUGUAGCAGCUGUUCUUGGGUAUCACACAUGUAUAUUGUUUAAUGAGACCUAAUGAUUAUCAUAGCAGCCUGAGAGUUACAUUGUACAUAGUCCUAAGGCAGUAUGUUACUAUUAAGAGAAGAUAGUGAACAACAAGUGAUAAAUGUUUUUUGAAAAGCAUAGAUAAAUAUACUUUUGUGAUGGUGUCAUUUCUAUGAUUUCACUUGUGCCAUAAGGUACACUACAAGCAGGAACUUUUUAGAUUUCAUAGAAGUCCAUGAGCUAGUGGGCUUUUGACUUGUUAUUAAUUAAGAGAAGGCAUACUAACAAACUAUAAGUCUAUAACCUUGAGAAUAAUUACAGGUAGUAAUGACAAACUAAGGAAAAUAUCAGUUGACCCAAAGUUGCGCUGGAGUGCACACACACUUUGGACAAUGCCUAGGUUUGUCAUAGACUGCUUAAUUCCUUGUUUUUUUUUUUUUGCAAAAAUAUGGUAGGUAGAUAGAAUUAAGAGGAAAAAAAGAGAUAGAAAAAGUGGCCACGAGUUAAGAAGUUAAAAAUACUUUUAAUAUAAACAAGCAUAAUUACAUGGACUAUUUUCUCAAAUGGAUUGAUAAAAAGAAAUAGACUAAUGAAAUUGCAUUCUAGGUUUGCAAUUUAGCCUUUAGUUUGUAGAGUUCUAGUGUUAUGGUCUUGCUGCUAUUGAUUGAUUGGUUGUGGCUCUCCUGAACACUUGUUCCAGGUUAAAGUUUUAUUAAUCAACCUCGGGUACAAUGUAACAGAUAACACCUUGUAUUUGAAUACAUGGAGCAUGACCUUGCUGGUCUAGUACUUUCAAAGUUAGUCAUUACACUUUUAAUUUUUCGUUAAUGACAAAUGUUUAGUUUAUUUUUCUUAUAACUCCAAAUUUAUGCAGUUUCAAAGUUCAAAUAAAGGUCAUUGACAACACAGGCUCUUCAUCAUUCACUCUCUUUGAUCUGAUCAUGUUGUUUCUAAUCAUAUUGGUAAAUCUGCAUCAGAUAUCUUUGUGCUUCUAAUGCCAAGGUGAAUAGUAUAGCAAAAUUAAACCAUGAUAUAUAGUAAAUUUAAAAGCAAAACAACGCUCUUAUUUAUUCAUUUUAUUGUUUAACAUUCUAUAUUUUAUGCAAAUUACAGAAUCUUCCAUAUGAAAUAAAAAAUUGAUUGCACAAACAGAUUCUGUUCAAAAUUGAUGUUCCUGAUUCAAACCAAGUACAAAGAUGGAAAAAUUAUACUUUGAAAAAAUGACAUGAUAGAGAUACAAUUGACAAAUUUAUCAGUCUGAACAAUAUACAGGUUGAAUCUAUUAUUAAAUUAAUUCAUUCAUGUUCUGUGGUCUGUUUAAUUAUUAUUCUUAUGAGGUUUACACUGAAUUGAAGUUGUUCAAUUAGGAGGAAGCUGACUUGAAUGAGACAAUGGAAGACUUAGCCAGGGACAAGCGAUUGGUACAAUCCUCAGUGGCUUUAUCUAAUUCAAGUAAAAAUAUAGAGAGAAUAUAAUCAUGUUAAUUGUUUGAAUAAGUUAUUCGUUUAUUUUUAGACUAAUGUUGAAAAUGGAGAUUCAAACAGUAGAGGUAUACUUGGUCUAACAGACAUUGAACAGACUCCUACCAGCAAUAUUUCAGGAAAGUGAUCAUCUGAUGAAAUUGACGAUCAAGACGUUAUCCAUUUGUAUUUGUUCAAUUCCUAUCUUAUUUGCUUAUAUUAUCUCAAACAGCUGCCAUACAUUCCUUCAAUCUCAAAGCAAUAAUGUCAUUAUUUCAUUUUUGGCAGCUUUAUCAAUAAUCAUUCAUGUCCCUCUCCUGGUUAUUCACAAUGCAAUUCAAGUAUGGGAUUCCUGAGGCAAUGAUUUCAACAAUUUUGGCAUACUGGAUUCCCGAUAUUGGUCAACUGAUAUUUAUUACAUGUGGUUGGUGCCCUGGAACAUGGAAAGGUUUCUUUUUUAUCAUUCAAAGAUCUUUGCUUGUUGCCAAGCUUUCCAUUUCAUCCGAUGCCAUGUUAUGGUGAGCUUUUUUCUCUGUCAACUAAAGGGGUUAAUAAGUUCUUUAUAAAUGCCAUGAUUGCUGAACAAAUUUGGAUUUCCUUUAUAUAGGAUAUAGAUAAAUGUAUAUGCUGAUAGAGGACUGAGCUGCACUAAGCUAAGUAGGAGCUAAUUGAUAAAGGUUUUCUUGCUCAUUUUAUUCACAAAUAUGGUUUAUAUAGAGAUGCCAAUGAUGAAUACAAAGCCAAUCAUUGGCUGUUCACUAUAGGACCUGUUAUGGGAUAAUAACCACAAUAGGUAGUGGAGGUAACUAAUUUAACCACAAUAAUUAAGAUUAAAUUUUAUUAUUUAUAGUAUUAACAUCAAUGGAUGGGAAAUGAUGAUAGCAUUUGGUUUCAUGGCUGCAGCAAGGUAAAUGACAUGGUUUACCUUUCUAUAGUUAUUGUCAUUGAUUUUGUCAUCAUCUCCGAUCCGAAAUAGUAUAUCAAGCUUAAGCUGCCAUUUGAUUUUUCAUUUGUAGUUGAUUUGGUGCGGAAUAUUAACUUUAUAUAUAAUAAAUGAAUGAAUAUAAAAAUUAAAAUAGUAAUAGCAUAUAUUUAUACAAAGAGAUAAAAACAAAAAUAAAGAAGAGACAUACCUUAAUUCUCUGUGAUGUGUGAUACAAUUGUGGUUUCUAAUUCUAUCAUAUGCUGGGAUUAAUCAGUUACUUUCGAUGUUUCUUUCUUACUUUCUCUUUCUCUUGUGGUGGUGGGCGGUGAAAGAAAAGUCUAUAGGUUAUCAAGUAUUAUGGAUUUAAGAUUGCCCAGUGGCAGUCACUUAAUUACCAUGAAUCUAGGGAACAGCAGGGUGAAUAUAAUUCUCCUGUGAAGCAAGCUUCAGUGAAACCCAGAAACUAUAACAUAAUUAAUAUGCUUUAUGAAAUUAAUCUUCAAAAUUAGUAUCAAAAUUUUAAAUUUUAAUAUUUUUAAAAUUAAUUUCUGAAAUGUAUUUAAUAUAUUCUAAAACUAAUUGCAAAAAUAUUCACUUAUUGUCAAAAUAAAUUCCAGAACUUUAUUUGCAGAUAUAGUUAAGAGGCUUAUAGUAUGUAUAUUUUGUCUUUCUUACACUGAUAACUAUAUAAGUAGUUUUCUAAUUUAUAGCACUUCGGAAAAAAAAUCAAAAAAGAAAAACUAUUAUAUAAGAAUCGUAUUGAUGAUGAGGACAUCAUAAGAAAAUGUUGUGAUAAGAAUGAGAUAGAUACGUGUGUGUCCAACAAGGAACUACAUAUUUUGGAAUUAGAGAUAGAUACGUGUGUGUCCAACAAGGAACUGCAUAUUUUGGAAUUAGUGAUAUGAUUAUGUGAAGGUGUACAUAUUUUUAGUUUUUUUUUUUAAAAAAAAAACAAAGACAGACAAUUAUUUAAAAAAUAUAUAUUAAAAAGAUUAUUUUAAAAAUCAUCUUUAGAAUGUUUAAAUUUUUUUUUUAAAAAAAAAGUAUUUUAAGAUGAUUGUUUUAGAAUUCUCAUUUAAAAAAACAUUAUGAGAUUUUAUAUAAAAAAAAUUAUUUUAGAAGGAUAUCAUUUUAAGAUGUUUUUAGUUAAAAAUCAUAUUAAAAAUAUACAUUUUUUUAAGAUAAUUUUUUUUAUAAAACUGUCCUAAAAAUUGAAGAUUUUUUAAGCUUUAUUUAUGACGAUAAUUAAUAAUCAAUAUUAAAUGUCUGAAUUGAAUUAACCGACAUAGAAAAUGUUUUUUCCAAUAAUGAGUAACAACAAAUUUGUCAAUAAUAUUUUCAUUUCUUCUUUUAAUUGUUUUUAUACCAUAUUAUUAAUUACUUUUUCUUUUCUUUUCUAACUUUCUUCUUUAAUUUUACUCCAUUAUUAACCCUAAAAUGGGAUGUACCACUGAUCACAAAAUGCAAUUCAAUCUUUCAUAGUAUAGUAUUUUCGAAAUUCGGUGCCCCGUUUAACCUACCUUUGAAUCUUUCCCAUACCAGAGUUUUACUUGAAAACACUGAAAUGGGUAAUGAAUAAAUCAGAAUUUAUGUCGUCUGAGGACAGUAAAUUGGUAGAGCGAAACAUUGACCAGCGACCAUGCCUUAAUCCACCCGAAUCUACUGUAUCAGCUUACACCAAAUCAAAGUCUCAAAUUAAGCCAUGAAUUAAAGACGAAAUAUCAAAGUUAAAAUCUUAUGAAAACUAAAACCUAAAGUUAAUUAUAUAGAGACUAAGAGCAUUAAAAUGAUAUAGAGACAACACUUCAUCGUUUGAUAAUUAUGUUACAACCUUGUCACCUAAUAGUCUAGAUAAUAAGUUACAUUGUUGUCACUGUGUUACAUGUCACAACUUUUCUCUGAGGGCAUGCACAGUAAAUACUAAAUACAAAGAGCAAAACAUUGACCAGUGACCAUACAUUAAUCACCCGACUCAACCGUAUUGGCUCGCACCAAAUCAAACGUAUCACAUUAAGCCAGGUGCCCAACGAUUAGAUCAUAUGUACCACACAGCAUUAACUUCAUCACAACCACCAACAAACCAAAUCCUGCCACAUGCCCUCUCCCAUACGAUAUUCAUAGUACAUCUCAACUUUAGGAUGCAUAGACGGAUGCAUUCUCGUAUGAUUUUUAAAUGGAGUCUCAUAUGAUUUUUCAUAAAACAAAUUCUCUUUUAAAAAGAAAAAGGCUAACAAAAGCGCUUGAAGAAAAUUAAGUAAAAUAUGAUCAUAAACGUAAUAAAGAAUAAUGAUCUAAAUAUAAAUAUAAUAACACAAAUCUUGUAAAAGAACAUCAACCACAUACAUAUACCUCAUCAAUCAUAUCACGUAACCAAUAGUGCAAGAAACUAGACAUUUUUGUGUUAAUUUUCAUUGCAUUACGUCAAAUUCACAUCCUACUUGUGCUAUGAAGCAUUGAACAUUCAACGACAAUGGUGGUUAGUAAGACCCAAAAGAAAAUGAACAUAUGAUAAUAUUUAUUGGUGCAUACACACCACUUGUGUGUAUUUGUGUUCCCUCCUACCUACGUUAUUACUCCCAUCUGAUGUUCUUUAUAAACCCUACCCUUGCAACACCUUACUCACCAAGUAAUAAGCAAGAAACUCCAUAGCGAAAAAGAAAAUUCACGUUAUAUUGUUAGUUUAUUCGUCAUUUCUUUCUUUGAGUAGUAAUGGCAAGCCUCAAGGUUGCAUUUGUGGUUGCUGUGCUAUACAUGGUUGUGGUGAGUGCACACAUGGCACAUGCUAGGAUCAACUGCGGCCGUGUCGCGGUCGCGGUGUCUCCGUGCCUUGGCUACCUUCGUCGCGGUGGAAGGCCACAGGCGAGGUGCUGCAACGGAGUGAGAAACCUCCACGCCCUGGCCAAGACCACCGUGGACCGCCGGACGGCGUGCAAUUGCCUGAAAACCUUUGCCAGAGGUCUUGGUAGGGGUGUCAAUGCCAACAACGCAGCUGCACUUCCAAGAAAAUGUAGAGUCAACAUCCCCUACAAGAUCAGCAUCUCCACCAACUGCAACACGUAUGUGAAACUCAUCAUCACCCACUUCAAAUGCUUUCAUUUCCUCACAUUUUCAUUCACUAACUCCUACAGUAAUUUCACUAAUACCUAAAGUGCAAUGCUAUACUUAUACUCACUCUAAUAUAUCUUAGCACAUUUGCAAAGAGAGGAGUAAUGUUUACCAACGGGAUUAGAUCUAGUGAAAGGGGUUAUGAGGAACUAAGAUUUUAGUCCCAAUUAAAAAUAGUAUUUUAGGGUGACCUAAAUAUGAUUGCCACCGAAAGGAUAUACCUGCGCGGAACUAAAUGAAAAUAGAGAAAUGCUACUUUUAGUUUCUUAAAAAUAAUUGGUUUCUUUUUAUCAUCUAUUUAUGAAAAUUUGCAUAUAUGAUACAUGAACUCUAUUUUCAUAAACAGGGGACCAAAGCAGAUUUUUUUUCUAGCUUUUUGAAUGAUAAGGACCAAAAAUAAUAAUACAUUUUCAUAAACGAAAAAGCAGAAAUUGGUAAUUUAUUUUUUGGGAGAUUAAAAUUGAACAUUGUAUUGUUUCAAAGGACUAAAAAGUAUACUUAUCCAAUUUUUAAUUAUUAGUUAAAUUUUAUCAAGAAAAACAUGAAAAAAAAUUAAGUAGGUCUAACCUUUUGUUUAUCGAGUCUCAUUUAUAAUUUUACAUAAUGCAAAAGUAUUUUUUUUUUAAGAAAAAGACAUGUUAUUAACUUUAUUUAAUGAUAUUUAAAUGGUGUUAGAAGUUUAAGAACCAGCUAGUGUCACAAGUUUGCAUAAUUUAUUUUUAGAGUUUAAUAUCUACACAAUAAUAUAAAAUAAAUUUAUAUUAUUAUUCAAUCAUAAAUUAUUAUUUAAAUUAUUUUAAAAAUUAAUAAACUUAUAGUACGAUUAAAUGUUUAUGUAAUUUUUUACAAUGUUAGUAUAUAAUUAUUUUUCUCUUUGUUUUAUGCACUUUUUUUUGUAAGUUUAAUUUACUUGACGAGCAUAGAUGAUUAUUUUAGUAUGAAAAUGUGUAGUUAUUUGAGGUUAUUGGUUAAAUGGUUGUGCAACAUUGCAGGAUCAGGUAAGGAUGGAUGUGGUAUAAGGAAGAAACAACAGGGCAAUUUUUCAGUCACAGGGCACUAUAUAUACGAUAAUAAUAGUGCUGCUGAAUUAACUAAUGAAAAAUAAUGGGAGGGCGAUGAGGGCUCUACUUGUGCGAGUCUCUUCUUGGUCUCGGUGUGUCCCUUAGUUGUUUCAGGCUUUGGUCCAGUAAUUAUGUUAUUAUUGUAAGUACGUGUUGGCUGAAAUUUCUCUCAUUUGGUUGUUGCAUGUAAUAAUGGCAUAUAUAUUGUGCUGUAAUUCCUUGCUACUUGCUACUUUACAUAUGAAAAACAAUUGCACUUGUGUUAAUGGUUUUUCUUACCUUAAUUCCAAAUAAUUUGUCCGCAUAGCGUAUUGGAAUUUGGAAUCCUCAGCUACUCAAUUACUCAAAUAAAAUUCUUCUAGACAUAUUUGAUACAAAUACAUAAAAUAUAAAUAUUUAUAUUACAUAACUAAAAUUAUGAUAAAUAAAUACUUUUGAUUAUAUAAAUUAUAUUAUUAAUAUUAUAAUUAAAAUUGUUAUAAAUAAAUAUCAUUGAAUAUACAAAUUAUAUUUUAGAUUAAUGAUAAACAAUACUACGAUACAAGAAUGUUAUUUUAAUUAUUGAUAUUUAAAUUAAUUUAGAAAAAAUAUGAAAAUUAUAGAUUAAAAGAGAUAAGAAGUUAAAAAAAAAUUUUAGAAGUACUCUCACUGAAGAAAAAUUCCUAAAAGCACUUUCACAGAAAAAUAAUUUCUAAUAGCAUUCUUAUUCAAUAAUACUUGACUUUGAAGUUAAAAAUCCAAUGAAAAUGUUUUAAAACAUUUUUUAAUAGAUAAGUAAAAAGUUAAUUGUUCUCAUGUAAAAGUUCAACAUCAUUAGACGGAGUUAUUUUAGUUUAACCGGUGAUUUUAAGUUUAAGUUUUAAAUAUAUAAUUAUAUUCAAUAUUUUUUUAAAAAAAUUAUCAUUAAUAUUAUUUAUAUUUAACUCAAGUAAGAUUGUCUAUUAUAAAAAACAUGUAUGGUCUCUUGAUCUUGUUGAUUUUUUUCUUAUUUUUUUUAUAUAAAUCAUAGGUAUUUUUUUAAAAAAAAUUACCUAUGAUUUAUGUAUAUAAAAAAUACCUAUGGUUUAUAUAAAAAAAAUCAAUUUUAAUAAAUUGGUAAAUGUACUAAUACGUCCCAAGUAGUAAACUUAAAAUUGAAAUUCAAGUGUCGAAUCCAUAUGGAUUUUUUUAUACUUAGGUAGAUGAAUAUUUUAUUAAUAAAAGAAGUUAAAGAAAAUUGAGUUGAAAAGGUUAUGAGAAAAAUAAUAAUUUAAAUUGGUAUAAAAUUAAGUAAAACAAGAGAAUAAAUUAAAUAAGAAUUUAAUUUAAUUAAUUAAAGAUAAAAAAGAUAAGAAAAUUCAGAAGAUGAGAAUGUUAGAAACUUAACCUACUAGAGCUACUCUUUGAUGUAAUGUUAAUUAUUUUUCCUAUUUAUAAUUAUUUUAAUUUACACAUGGAUUUACUAGUAUACUCUAACUUUGGUCUUCCGCAUGCAAGAGCCUACUUUACACCUGCAUCUACUAGUCAAUUGCAUUAAGAAUAGAAAUGUAUAAUAGACUAAACAAAUAUCAACAUAUUCCUAAUGAUAACUUUAUUUAGAUAAUCUUUCUCAGUUCUAUAAGAAAAUAAUAUUUCUCAAUGUUAUCCCUAAAACUUACCAUGCAAGUGGGUGAUCAAGCCACAAACAAUAAUAUUAACCACAAGAAAGAAUAAUACAAAUAUAAUAUUAUUAAAUAGAUAGGAAGAUAAAUUAUAUAAAGAGUAGUUGAUUGCCAAGUUCCUGACAAAAGGAGUUUAGUUUCUCAUUGUCAUAGCUAUUUUACAAUUGCAAGAGGGAAAUAUUUAGUAUAGGAGAAAAAGAUAAGAAACAAAAUGGAGGGGAGGAAUAACUCAUAUUUCUCCUUCAUCUAGCUCUUGUCUUCUAUAAAUAAUUGUAUUUUCUUGAAAUUUCUAUGUUUUUUAUCUUCUUCUUUUCUCUUCUUUUAUAGGUAUAAAUUAGCUAGCUUUUUGAACUAAGUUCGUCUUUACUUUCUUGAAUUAACUUAUUUUUAUUAAUUAAUCUAUUUUUCUUAAUUAGUCUACUUUCCUUAAUUAACAUAUUUUCCUUAAUUAUUUUUAUAUUCCUGAAUUAUUGAUUUUACUCACUAAGUAUCAUAAGUUUAUUACUUUUAAGAUUUUUUACACAGCAUAAAUGAUAUUAAUUUAAAAAUUAUUUGUUAAAAAAAAUAAGAAAAAAAUAUUAUAAAUUCAUAUAUAAUUUAACCCAAAAAUAUAUUCAUAAUUAACAAUUACCAAUCAAUAUGAUGAAGAGAUCAUACAAUUACUUCAAUAAUGUAUUAAAUUGAAUAAAUAAGUGUUAUAAGUGAAAUUAUAUAUGGACAUAUUUGGUAGGGGAGCUUUUUUUUAUAUAUAUCAGCAAAAUAGCAUUGAAAUAUAUAUAUGAAUACAAGGGGUAUGCAACCCUUUUACAAGUCACAUGUAGUGUAUAGGAAGAGUCCAGAUCCUCUGCAGUAGAUUAAAGGGGUAUUUGAAACAGUAGAAUUUUUAUUUGUCAAUCUUAAUUUUAAAUUAUAUACCUAAUCAUACCAGAUCCAUUCUAUAUACAUGAUUGUUAUUAAAAUACUGCAUCGGUAUAUUUAUGGAUAUUAUAGAAAAUGAAUCUAAUAUCAUUAGUUGUAUAGUUUAAGAUUAGUCAAUAAAAGUUUUAAUGUUUUAAAUAGUGCUCUAAUCUAUCGCAAAGGAUCCGCACUUGUAUAGGGAUGUUCACUCCCACCUGCCCCUCUGGAUGGUUACAAAAUAUAAAGUAUAUAUUGAAGUUAUCAUGCCACCUCUAGAUGGUUUACGGGGCAUUAAAUGUAAAGUUAGUGGUUGAAAAUUAUUUAUGCCAAUUUGGUCAUUAAUAACUUCUAGCCAACCUACUAUAUCGGGUUUGUGAGCCUGAAUGGGGAUAACAUACCCAAUUUUGCUUGUACAUGAUAUGGUACUGCUGGUACCAUAGUUUAAAAAUAAAAAUUAUUAUUUGUCGAUGUAAAAAACGAUAACCACCGUCCAAAAAUGUGUCCCUGUAUAAUUUAUAAGUCUAUAAUUCCAAUAUCUAAACCCAAGGCUGAACAUGCGUGGCUAUCACGAGACACGUUCAAGCAACAAAAACACAUCGGAUUCAACAAAAUCCACCAGCCCCAGAUGACCUUCAUUUGCCCAUAAUAUGAAUUUUGAAUUUCCGGUGUAUCAAACGAUCCAUGCAAAGUCUAUUUCCAUCGUGUUACUUUCAUCCCACCCACGAAAACUUCACAGUGAGGUGAAUGUGUUACAUCAAAUGAUUCUUGUCAAACUCUAACCCUUCAAAGAUACAUUUGUUCCUAAACUUCCAAAUGGCCCAAUGGUUUAUAAGGUAAUGUUUUGAGGGUGUUUAGCCAAAUAAAUCAUUAUUUUCAAAUAGUACAACCUAACUACAAGAAAGACAAAACAAAGUAUGGCUAAUUUUCUUCUUGUUGGCGACAGAAAACACAUCUAGUAUCAAUCUACACAAUGUUUAUUCUAAAUAGAUAAGACUUUAUGUUUCCAUCUUGCCAACUUUUUGUAAUUCCUCACAAUAGGUGUCCAUGUCACCUCCAUCCUUGGAUGCUCUCACUGGUAUACCCGAUAAGUGAAAGGUAAUGACAUUAACCUACAAUUUAAAAUGUUAGCAAAAAAACUCCAUAGCAUUUCUCCCUAGUCCCACUCCUCCAAAAGUGAUUUUAUAGAUGUUAACUUUGAGUCUUGAGAUGAGCUCACAACAUCUAAUUAGCAUACUCUUACCUUAACUUGUGUUUGGAUCAGAAAUUUCAAAAUUUCAUGUAAUUUGAAUUAUGUUGAUUUUAAUUUCUUUCAUUUUAUCAAAUGCUUUCUUUGAAUAAAUUAAUUUAAAUUUCUUCAAUUUUAAAUUCUUUGUUUGAAUAGGGUAAUUUAAUUUUCUCCAUAUGCAAAAUUUCAAUUUUAUAUUUUAAAUAGUUGAAAUUUUAAUAUUAAACUUUAUAGAAAACAAAUACAAUCAAAUUUUGAAAUAUUAAUUAAAAAAUAUUUUUCAAUUUUUAAUAGUAAACAAAAAUCCUUUAAACAAGUUAUCUCUAAUUGCUUCCCUCAUCCUACCAAUUAAUCCCACCGUCAUAAUAGUAAACAAAAAUAGUGAUAGGGAAUCUUUUUGUUUGAGACCUCUUUGAGGAGAAAAAUCCUCUGAGCGAGCCGUUAAUCAAAAUAGAGAUAUAAAGUAGAUAUCAAACAUCCUUUGAUCCAAUAAUCAUGAAUUCACUGCUCCCCAAAGGCAAUCUAUGUAGCAUAAUAGCUGAAAAUUAAAAAUCCUAAUAUACUAAAUCAUAUUUCUUCUCAUAGUCUACAUUAUACAUCAAGAAUUUCUUCAUUCUCCUCUUUGCCUAAUCAAUCAUCUCAUUUGCCACCAUGAUACUGUGCAACAAAUUAAUGUGUGACCUUCUAAGAAAUCACUUUGUCUAGCAUUAAUCGCCUUAGGCAACACCACCUUGAGUCUUCUUGCAAAGACUUUAGCCCGAAUUUUAUACAUGCAACCCACUAAAAAAGUGAGUCUAAAAUUCCUAAGAAUAUGUGGAUCAUCAGUCUUUGGAAUCAAAUUAAGUAAUAAAAGAAGGAUUUUAAAUUGAUAAUUUCAUUUGUAAUCACUUAAAUGAGUGUGGGGUUAUUUGAAGUUAAAAAAAGUAGCAUGGAGACAACACAUGGAAACACAAGGCAGUAAAGUUUUCAUAGGCACCAGGAAGCAUGUAACAGGUUGAAAAGUGUGCAAAACCAUAAGCUAGCCUAUUCACAAUUGACUUGCGAGUCACUAAUUUUGCUAAACUUUGCUAAACAUUGACCAGCUCAUACCAAUUUGAAUAUAUUUGUGAUCAAAUAAGAGGCUCGAACAUGAUAGGUGAUCAUUUUUUAUUCAAACCGAUUGAAUCGAUCAAUCAAAAUGGAGCAUGAUCGAUAACACUUGGUGAAGGGAGUAAGAGGCCUUACGAGUGAAGCGGUGAAAAAGAAUCUUUCUUAGAGUAUCAGGAUGAGAAAGGAUAGUAUAAAUAUUAACCCCUUACAAUAUGUUGACGACACAAUUUAUUUUCUUUGCCCAACCUUGAGUGGGUAAUGUCAUCAUUCUCAAAGUAAAUCAGAUUCUUUUUUUCUAAAAUAAAGAUAUUUUGUUCAUCACACAUAAUUUUACGUUUUUGAUAAAUUGUAGAGAUAUUAAGUUCAUCCAGAAACUAUACAGUAACUUUCUUAGAGGUUUCUAUCUUUUUUAUUUAUAAAAAAAUAAUACAUGUAAAAUAAUUUUUACAUCAUUUUUGCGUCUAUUUCUCUCUAUAUCAUUUAUUAUAUUUUUUUCUUUCCUCUCCGUUGGUUUUUUUUUUUUAAAAAAAAAAACUCUUUCUCUACUUGCUAGUUGUAAAAAUUAUUGUAUAAUUUAGAAUAAAUAGUCAGUUUUAUUCUUAAAUGUGUAAUUCGCUCAUAAAUGCAUCCCGAAAAAUGAAAAUAUAAAACUUAGUCCCUAAAAAUGUAAAAAAAAUUGCAACAAAAUAUAUUCAAUAAUUAACUUUCGUCAGUCACCGUUAAUAAUAUAGUUUACAUGACACACAGGGACAAAUUUGCCACUAAAAUAAUUGUCAAUGUAGUCAUAUCUAAUUAUCAGCAUAUGAGCAUAUUUAUCGUAUAAUAUUUUUUUUGACUUUUUAUCUUCCUAUUUUGCUGAUAAAUGUGUCCUUAAAAGAUAAAAAUACAAAAUUUAGUCCAUAAAAGUGUAUAAAAUAUGACAAAUAUAUCUGGACGUUAAUAGUAGAUUGUGAUUAAUUAUUAUAAUUUGAAAAAAAAGUAAAAUGAUUGUGACAAAAUUUUUGGAGAAUUAUAUCAUAUUGGUAAAUUUUUGUUUCAUUAUAUAAUUUUUAAGCUAUCAACACAUAAGAUAAAAAAAGAUUUUUUUUUACUGUAAAAGGAUAAGAAAAUCAUGGUUUCUAUUUAAUCAAAUACUAUUUAUUUAAUUAUUUUUUAUAAUUUUUUCAUAAUAAAAUAUGAAUAUUUAUUACUAUAUGCAAUCACAUAAAAUUAAAAAUUAUAAUAAAAAUUUGUUGAUUUUUAAAUUAUUUUUUAUAAAUCAUACACAAUUAUUUUUUAUUAACUAAUCAGUUAAAAAAUCAAAACCUUUAAAAAAAUAGUUCCAAAGGCUGUGAGUAUUUUUUUACAAAUUAAAUGUGUCAAUGCAAUUGAAAUUUUUUCCUAAAAAAUAUUCAUGGAUGCAAUUUAAUUAUAAUACUCUACAAUAAGUAUUUUUUAUACUUAAAUCUUUCAUUAAACAUGAAAGUAUAAAAAAAUUAUGAGUUUAUAAAAUGAGUUUUUUCUUCUUUUAGACUCAAUUUAAUUUACGAGUUUUUUUCAUUAAUUUAAAGUUAAUAAAACAAAUACAAAAAUAAUUAUUUAUUAUAUUUUUUCUUAUUUUUUUUUACUUUCACCUCUUUAACCUUAAUUCUAAGAUCUAAACUUCAAUUAAUAAUCAAAUCUAAAUUUUAAAUUCACAUUUUCUUUUAUUUGUUAAUUUGAGAUAAGUUAAGUUAAAAAAAUAUUAAAUUACUAAUUCGAUCCUUUUGUUGUUAACAUUAUAAAUUUUUUUAAAUUAUAAUAAUUAGUCACAAUCUAUUAUUAAUAUCUAGAUAUAUUUGUCACAUUUUUUACAUUUUCAAUGAUUAAAUUUUAUAUUUUCAUAUUUCAUAAACGUAUUUGUCAACGAAUUAUACAAAGUAACUAUUAUCAUAUAAUUUAUUACUAUUAUAUAAUAUAAGUAUAUUUAUCUAAAAAUAUAUAUAAAAACAUUACACAUAUCAAUGAAGAAACUAGUUACUGCAGGACCAAUUAAUAAAAGCAAUGCAAUUCAAUCCUCGAAAUCUGUAUUGGGGGCACCAAAUCAAGCGUCAUAUAUUAAGCCAGGUGCCAAAAGAUUAUACCAUGCAUGCACCACCACCUAGCAUUAAAUUCCUACAAACAAAAAAACAGUACUGCCACAUGCAUUCUAGAUAACCCUUAGUUACGUUCCCACAUCCCUAGGAGUCCUAUCUUAUCUCCUAUAUAACCCCCCACACUUGCACCACUUCACUCACCAAGCAAUAAGCAAGAAUUUCCAUUGCAUGCAAAGCAAAUACUCAUUAUACUACUAGUUUUAAUUUGUUGUCAUUUGCUUCUUUCUUUGAUUAGUGAUGUCUAGCUUUCAGGUUGCAUAUGUGUGGUUGCGAUGAUGUGCAUGGUUGUGCAAAAAAUUCUCUUGACUGACGUCAAUGAAAAAAUAACUCUAACCAACAUCAUCUAAAAAAAAUAUUAGCCGACAUCGAUAAAAAAUAACUUUGGUUAAUAUCACACAAAAAAAUUCUGAAUGAAAAAACAUAGGCCAACGUUAGUGUAAAAUAACUUAUAUCGAUAUCGGUCAUAAAAACUUUGCUCACCCGUUGUUGCAAUUGUUGAAUGAGAAAGAAUCGCGAGCAAGAACGUAAGUUAGAGUGACCAUCUCCGAAAAAAAUUUCAAAUUUUAUAUUUUUUUAGAGAAUUUAAAAUCUCACUGUUUUAAUCAAUUAAAAUGAUUCAUAAAAAUAUUAAAAACUAAAUCUUUUUUCAAAUAUUUUAUUCAAACAAAUUAUUUUAUUAUGAAUUUUUUUAAGUUCCUUAAAAAAAUGAAUUUCACUCCAUCCAAACACUAUUUUGUUAAUGGAAUGACAACUAUGUGUAGCAUCUCCAAAGAACAUUCUCUCGUCAACAUAUAUAGCAGCAAGUCAAUUUCAAUGCCCUUCAUACCCAUAAGGUCCUCUUUAAACAAGUUAUCUCUAAUUGCUUCCCUCAUCAUACCAAUUAAUCCCACCGUCAUAAUAGUAAACAAAAAUAAUGAUAGGGAAUCUUUUUGUUUGAGACCUCUAUGAGGAGAAAAAUCCUUUGAGCGACUGCCGUUAAUCAAAAUAGAGAUAUAAAGUAGAUAUCAAACAUCCUUUGAUCCACUACUCAUGAAUUCACUGCUCCCCAAAAGCAACCUAUGUAGCAUAAUAGCUGAAAUUAAAAACCCUAAGAUACUAAAUCGUAUUUCUUCUCAUAGUCUACAUUAUACAUCAAGAAUUUCUUCAUUCUCCUCUUUGCCUAAUCAGUCAUCUCAUUUGCCACCAUGAUACUGUGCAACAAAUUAAUGUGUGACCUUCUAAGAAAUCACUGUGUCUAGCAUUAAUCACCUUAGGCAACACCACCUUGAGUCUUCUUGCAAAGACUUUAGUCCGAAUAUUUUACAUGCAACCCACUAAAAAAAUUAGUCUAAAAUUCCUAAGAAUUUGUGGAUCAUCAGUCUUUGGGAUCAAAUUAAGUAAUAAAAGAAGGAUUUUAAAUUGAUAAUUUCAUUUGUAAUCACAGAAGUGAGUGUGUGGUUAUUUGAAGUUAAAAAGGUAGCGUGGAGACAACACACAGAAACACCAGACAGUAAGGUUUUCAUAGGCACCGAAAAGCGUGAAAAGUGUGCAAAAUCAUAAGCUAGCCUGUUCACAAUUGACUUGUGCGUCACUAGUUUUGCUAAACACUGACCAGCUCAUACCAAUUUGAAUACAUUUGUGAUCAAAUAAGUGGCUCAAACAUGAUAGGUGACCGAUUUUCAUUCAAACCGAUUGAAUCGGUCGAUGAAAAUGGAGCAUGAUCAAUAACACUUGGCGAAAGGAGUAAGAGGCCUUACGAGUGAAGUGGUGAAAGAGAAUCUUUCUUAGAGCACCAGGAUGAGAAAGGAUGGUAUAAAUGUUAACACGUUACAAUUUGUUUACGACACAAUUUUCUGUUGCCUAACCUUGAGUGGGUAAUGUCAUCCUCCCCAAAGUAAAUCAGAUUCCUUUUUUUUUUUUCUAAAAUAAAGAUAUUUUGUUCACCACACAUAAUUUUACGUUUUUGAUAAAUUGUAGAGAUAUUAUGUUCAUCCAGAAACUAUACAAUAACUUCAUUAUUCUUCUCUUUUGUUAUCAUAUCACUUGUUAUUUUAUAUUUUUUCUUUUUUUGUUUUCUAUUUUUUCUAUCUUUCUUAUUUAUAAAAAAAUAAUACACAUAAAAUAAAAUUUACAUCAUUUUUGCAUCUAUUUCUCUCUAUAUCAUUUAUUAUAUAUUUUUUCUUUCCUCUCCAUUGGUUGUUUUUUUCAAAAACCAAAACUUCUUUCUCUGCUUGCUAGUCUUAAAAAUUAUUGUAUAAUUUAGGAUAAAUAGUCAUUUUUGUCUUUAAAUGUGUAAUUCGCUCACAAAUGUGUCCCUGAAAGAUAAAAAUAUAAAAUUUAGUCCUUGAAAAUGUAAAACAUGCAACAAGUAUAUCCGAUCAUUAACUUCCGUCUGGUACCGUUAAUAAAAUAACUUAUAUGACACAUAGGGACGAAUUGUCACUAACAUGAAUGAUUGUCAAUGUGGUCAUCUCUAUUUGUCAGCAUAGGGACAUAUUUGUCAUAUAAUAUUUUUUUUUUACUUUUUGUCUUCUCAUUUUGCUGACAAAUGUGUCCCUAAGAGAUAAAAAUACAAAAUUUAGUUCCCGAAAGUGAAAAAAAGAUGACAAAUAUAUCCGGACGUUAAUAGUAGAUUGUGAUUAAUUAUUAUAAUUUAAAAAAAUUUAUAAUGAUUGCAACAAAAUUCUGGGAGAGCUAAAUCAUAUUGGUAAGUUUUUGUUUCCAUUAUAAAAAUUUUAAGCGAAGUAAAAAAAAUUACUAUAAAACAAUAAAAAAAUCAUGAUUUUUGUUUAAUCAAACACUAUUUAUUUAAUUAUUUUUUUAUAGAUUUUUCAUAAUAAAAUAUGAAUCUCUAUUAGUAUAUGCAAUCACAUCAAAUUAUAAAUUAUAAUAAAAGUUUUUUUAUUAACUAAUCAUUUAAAAAAUCAUAACUUUAAAAAAAUAAUUCCAAAGGAGGUGAGUAUUUUUGUACAAAUUAAAAGUGUCAAUGUAAUUGCAAUGUUUCCUAAUUCGAUCUUUUUAUCGUCAUCAGUAUAAAAAAUUUUAAAUUAUAAUAAUUAUUCACAAUCUAUUAUUAAUAUCUAGAUAUAUUUAUCAGAUUUUUUUCACUUUUAAUGAAUAAAUUUUGUAUAUUAAUAUUUUAAGAAUGUAUUUAUCAAUGACUUUUACAAGUAACUAUUUAUUACUAUUAUAUAAGUAUAUUUAUCUAAAAAAAUGUAUAAAAACAUUACAUAUCAAUGAAGAAACUAGUUAUUGCAGGACCAAUUAAUAAAAGAAAUACAAUUCAAUCCUCGAAAUCUGUCAAGGUAUGGAGGGAUAAGCUAUAAUAUUAAAUAUAUCAUCCUAUUCAGUCGUAUUUGGGGCACCACCAAAUCAAGCGUCACAUAUUAAGCCAGGUGCCAAAAGAUUAUACUAUGCAUGCACCACCACCUAGCAUUAAAUUGAGCACAACUGCCACCAAACAAAAAACAGUACUGCCACAUGCAUUUUCCAUAACCCUUAGUUACCUUCCCACAGCCCUAGGAGUCCUAUCUUAUCUUCUAUAUAACUCCCCACACUUGCACCACUUCACUCACCAAACAAUAAGCAAGAAUUUCCAUUGCAUGCAAAGCAAAUACGCAUUAUAUUACUAGUUUUAAUUUGUUUUGUCGUUUGCUUCUUUCUUUGAUUAAUGAUGACUAGCUUUAAGGUUGCAUGUGUGGUUGCGAUGAUGUGCAUGGUUGUGGCCAUGAGUGUUACACCCAUGGCACAGGCCGCAAUCACGUGCGGGCAGGUCGCCGGCGACGUGUCUCCGUGCCUCAGUUAUCUUCGAAGCGGCGGAAAACCAUCGGACGCCUGCUGCAACGGAGUGAAGUCACUCAGCGGUGCGGCAAAGACCACCGCC
This 25371-nucleotide long non-coding RNA is filed under the name Glycine max (soybean). Its description in RNAcentral is "long non-coding RNA (GMAX_LNC000516)". The record is from RNAcentral. Lineage: Eukaryota; Viridiplantae; Streptophyta; Magnoliopsida; Fabales; Fabaceae.